CCUCCGUUGCAUGGUUCGGUUUCGAAUCCUCGGGAAGUUGAAACCUCGAACGGCGAAUUUUUCCAUACGCCGCGACGCCGCGCCGCGCCGCGCCGAAGCCCUAGCCGGAGCUCCGCCGCCGCCGUUUCCGGACACCGCUCCUCCUCCCGCCGCGGGCCGCCGCCGCCGCCGUCCUCUCGCGCUCCGGCCGCAGGGCCUCCGGGGGAGGGAAUUGGCCUCCUGUAUGUGAGCUCCGGCGGGGAAUCUGGCGGCCGUCGGGAUUGGCGUUGAGGGCGGGGCGGCGCAGCAGCUGCGGGGCAUGGCGGAGGGCAGGUUCCGCGUGGGCUACGCGCUCCUGCCGAAGAAGCGGGAGAGCUUCAUCCAGGACUCGCUCGUCGCGCUCGCGGGGUCCCGCGGGGUCGAUCUCGUGAGGAUCGACGCCGGGCGGCCGCUCGUCGACCAGGGGCCCUUCGACUGCGUCCUCCACAAGCUGUACGGCGAGGACUGGAGGCGCCAAUUGGAGGAGUUCACGGCGAGGAACCCUAAUGCGGUGGUCCUGGAUUCGCCGGACGCGAUCGAGAGGCUCCACAACCGCAUUUCCAUGCUCCAGGUCGUAUCGGAGCUCCGGGUCGAGAGCGAGAGCGAGUCGUUCGGGAUCCCGAACCAGAUUGUGAUCUACGACAAGGAGACGCUGGUCGAUAAGCAUGCAUGGGCGUCGCUGAAGUUCCCGGUGAUUGCGAAACCCUUGGUCGCCGACGGGAGCGCCAAAUCGCACAAGAUGUCGCUCGUGUUUAACCACGACGUGCUGCACAAGCUCAAACCGCCCAUUGUGCUGCAGGAGUUUGUGAAUCACGGUGGGGUCAUAUUCAAAGUCUAUGUCGUCGGCGAGUAUGUGAAAUGCGUGAAGCGCAAGUCCUUGCCUGAUGUUACAGAGGAGAAGCAGGGGUCUCUCCAGGGGUGUUUGUCGUUCUCGCAGGUGUCCAAUUUGACAACGCAGGAAAAGAAUGACGAUAAGUAUUAUAGGUCGAUGCAUUUGGAGGACGCGGAGAUGCCUCCUCAGAGUUUUAUGACGGAGAUCGCAAAGGGCUUGAGGCGGGCCAUGAAGUUGAAUUUGUUUAACUUCGAUGUGAUAAGGGAUGCCAGAAAUGGUCACCGAUACUUGGUUAUUGACAUUAACUAUUUCCCUGGAUACGCAAAGAUGCCCAAUUACGAGCCUGUUUUGACUGAUUUUUUCUGCGACUUAGCCCAAAAGUCGGGGAAGAAUCUGGCGAAGUGCUCCGGCAAGGAGGAUUGCUCUGAGAAGAGCAAGUUUUGAUAUUCGAACUGUGCAGAGUUGUGACAAGAAGGUGAGGAAAUUUGUGAGUAAUGCUUGCAGUAGUGAUGAGGAUGAUGGUGGCCUUCCAAUUUCGCCUCAAUCAAGCCUGGCACAGUGCGUAGAAGACCCAUGAACAAUGAAUUCCUUGUUCGUUCCUCUGAUGGAUCCUCUGAUGGAUUUGUGUUGCUGGAAACAGGUCCACUUCAGGAGGCCUUUUGCUGAUUGGUGACUGAAGUCGUUCGCGCCUUUUAGAUGGAUUUUGGACAGCGGUGAAUAAGUAGCCGUAUCUUGACUUCUAGUUCAAGCUUCUUGACGAUCAAAUGUCACAAACUUGACACUUGUCUCAAGUUUUCCAAGACGCGUACAGUGCUGGUUUAUGGUCUCAUCAUCGUGGUCUGGUGGAAAGACCUGUUUGACUUCCUAGUUGCUCAGGCUGAUGAUUUGGCAACAGUCCACUCUUGCAGGUAAGCAGGUUUUGUUGUUGCAUGUUAAAUCCAUGGUGAUGAUUGUGGACACAUGGAUGAUGGAUAAGAGCAAUAUGCUAAUUGAAGUACCUCUAACAUUAUUCUAUGGAUUAUUGCACUAUUUGCACUUUCUAGUGAGGUUCCAAUGUUGGAGAAUGACUGCCAUUUGCCACCCAUAAUUAGCUGAGGAAAUGAAAAGAUUCAAUGCAAGGUGGCUGAGUCAAUCUGAUACUUAGAGCUUCCUCACUAGCGAGUGCUUCAGUUAUGUCGCGAACCGAGAGGUCCCUUUUUGCACUGCACAACUUGGAUUGCUAGAAAGCAAAACAAAUCCUCUACAUUUUAGAAGGGAGAAUUUCAAAAGAAUGGAUAUUUAUAAGUCUCUACGUCAUCAGAAAUACCCAGAGGCCUCACAGUGUCUGUCAUUGUAGCUGUCAUUGUUCUGUUCUCUUGAGGGUCUUUCAGGCCCCAAAAGAUCCAUUAGUGAUGACUGCAGCCGGCAGGUGAUGAGGGUUAAGGUCAAAGAAACUUGACAUCCUUACGGAUUGGAGAAGUUCAGAUGAUAAGGAGAGAAGCCAUGGUGUAGCUAACGGAUUGUUCUAGGACUGCUGCCUCAAUGCGGCUCAAGCUAAUCUCGAUGUUGAGCAGCUAUAUGCAUUACAGGUUAUGGGUUUUAGCACGUUACCAAAUAGAACUGGUAAUUUACGGAAUUCCCUCACUCUGAAAUUGUCUUAAUCUCACUGCAUAAUCACCAAUCGCCGAACUGAAUUCUAAUUGACAGAACCAGGAGGGCAAAAAUCAAAUGGGAUAGUGACCUCAAGCUGGUCACCUUUUGUCAUUUGAGUCCUUUCGAUAGGCAUGUUGGACGGAAAAUUCGUAGCAGUUUUGUUCUCUCGGUUUUUGCUAAAAAUGUGGCAUUGACGUGGUUCCACACGGAUGGCACGACAGAAAAAAAGUGGAAUAAAAAGGGACGCAUAAAGAGAGAGAGGGGUCGAGAGGGAGGAGGCCGCGAGCGAUGGGUGGCAACCUCUGGCAGAAUACCUCAACUCGUGAUGUCAUUAAUUCAAAUCAGGCCAAAUAACUCACUUUCGGCAGAAUAGUCUUUAGCAAACCAAAUUCUCUGUGCCAAUCAGGCAAAAAAUACAGUGGAUGUUGCAUGAACUUGGACACCCCCGACACCAUGCAUAAGUCACAUCUUUAGCAGCCUGGAAGUAAGAAAAGGAUCUAUCUUCUAACGUGAUCCUUUCGCUCAUAUAAACGCCAGCCAUCAUUUUCAGCAACUACAAAUGAGCCGACCCUUGUGCCUCCACUCCUACCCAGAGAAGGGCAGAAAUGAGCAAUUUAGUCCCAGGGUGUGACGAACUGGCCCUUUGAAUCUUUUCCGAGGUGUAGUCUAAUGGAUCAAAAUGCAGGGCCAACAGCUGUACUCAACAGAAGGGACAAACCAUGGUGUGAUCAGAUACUGAUGUGUAGCUGAAUUAAAUUUUCUUUGGAGGGGCGUAUGAAUCACUGGUGUUCUUCCUCUAGUUUUUUUUUUUUUUUAAUAUAGUGAGAGAAUCCUACGCAUCAUCCCCAUCCACCUCUGGUUUCACAAAGAACUCCACAUAAGCAAUUCGACUGGGUUGCUGAUAG
Eucalyptus grandis is the source of this 3387-nucleotide RNA transcript. It is a transcript of the gene named inositol-tetrakisphosphate 1-kinase 1, with no coding region annotated. The transcript is spliced from 2 exons. The record is from RefSeq and is a predicted model, not a curated record. NCBI's taxonomy places the organism in Eukaryota, Viridiplantae, Streptophyta, Magnoliopsida, Myrtales, Myrtaceae.